This 582-nucleotide ribosomal RNA is filed under the name Pezizaceae sp. MIN 925932. RNAcentral's name for it is "eukaryotic LSU rRNA". It matches the Rfam family "Eukaryotic large subunit ribosomal RNA", at positions 13 to 596 of the family's 3401-position model. Lineage: Eukaryota; Fungi; Ascomycota; Pezizomycetes; Pezizales; Pezizaceae. The record is from RNAcentral.
AGGUAGGGAUACCCGCUGAACUUAAGCAUAUCAAUAAGCGGAGGAAAAGAAACCAACAGGGAUUGCCUCAGUAACGGCGAGUGAAGCGGCAAAAGCUCAGAUUUGAAAUCUGGUGUUGUAUUGACGCCCGAGUUGUAAUCUGUAGAGGAGUUUUCGGAGUAUGACUUUGGUUAAAGUUCCUUGGAAAAGGGCAUCAUAGAGGGUGAGAAUCCUGUUUAUGACCUUAGUUCUUCUCUAUAUGAAUCUCCUUCAAUGAGUCGAGUUGUUUGGGAAUGCAGCUCUAAAUGGGUGGUAAAUUCCAUCUAAAGCUAAAUAUUGGCAAGAGACCGAUAGCGCACAAGUAGAGUGAUCGAAAGAUGAAAAGAACUCUGAACAGAGAGUUAAAGAGUACGUGAAAUUGUUGAAAGGGAAGCACUUGUGACCAGACAUAUUUGCAAUUAAUCAGCCAUCAAUUUUGGUGGUGCACUUGAUUGUAAGUGGGUCAGCAUCAGUUAUAGUAGUGGGACAAAGACCUAAAGAAUGUGGCUCCUCUUUGGAGGAGUGUUAUAGCUUUUGGUNUAAUACUGCUUGCUAUGACUGAGG